This 1289-nucleotide unclassified non-coding RNA is filed under the name Hevea brasiliensis (rubber tree). Lineage: Eukaryota; Viridiplantae; Streptophyta; Magnoliopsida; Malpighiales; Euphorbiaceae. The record is from RNAcentral.
UUAAAAAAAAAAAAAAAAGGAUUCUUGGCUGAUCCAUGAAAAGUAGGAAGCAUUGUGAAGUGGAAAAGCCUUUUACCACAGGAUUUUGAACCAAGCUUUUCACUGGAGAAUCAGUAGCUUACGGGCAUUAGUGCACCAGCGAUCAUAAGCUGGUUGGAGAUUAGGCCAAUCAGAAGAAGGGGAAUAAGUGAAGUGUUGUAGCCACAAAGACAAGACUUGCUCCUGCUCCUCUUCCUGGUCCAAUGUCUCUAUGAGCUCUUCCAGUAUUUUCUCUAGCUCUGCCCUUUCGCUAGUGCUGAGAACAGGUACAUCAGUGCCAUUACAAGCUUUGCAUAACAAUGGCAACCAUGCCAUUAGCAUCUUCUUAUUUACUUGCCUUUGUUGUUGUUUUUUGUCUUCUUCUAUUUCUUCUAUUCCCCAUUCUUUGGCUUGCUUGAACAGAAAUGCUGCUAUCUUUAGCAAUGAACCCUGUAGCCGCGGCUCAGCCGAGAGAGCGAAGUAAGCCAAGUUGGAAGCCGAGGCCCACCUACAAACAGCUUCCUCCCCGCAACCGCAGGCAGCCAACUUCUGCGACAACCAAAGCAGCUCCGCCGCCAACUUCUCCUCUAACCGUUCCAUUCCCUCUCUCGUCCUCCCACCGAAGGCCCCCAAUGUCCCAUCUUUUAGAGACCUAACCGCUCUUAAAACCCGGUUCAACUGGUUCUGAACCUGCCAAUUCACGUCCGGUUCAUAGCCGAGCUCCAUCAUGGACGCUUCAAGCUGGCUAAGAGUCCUCUCAAAAGCCGCUGAUAAACUUGUACGGUUGACUAAACGCAAAGCCUCAGCAUCCCCACUCUGAUUCUCCUCUAUAAUUUUCUCAGCCAAAGAUCGAACAACUUCAUACUUCCUGGAGCUAACAGGGAUAUCAUUAAUGAGCGACAAGAUCUGGAUAAGUGCUCGAGCAAUACCCGAAUCGGCGCCGCCGCUUCGGCGAGUGAGGACGGCGUAGGUUUCAGUUUUGGGAGAUUUGAGGAGGUGAUUAUGAUCAGGAAUAGGAUUAAAAGAAGCCAAGAAAGAAGGAAGUAAACGCAAGAAGAAGAGAAAACCGGUUAUGAAGAGAUACCGAAUGAAUUCGAGGAGUUUGUACUUUUCUCCAAGAUUAACGAGGGAUUUAUCAGCGUAGAUGAAAGCAGGGGCGACCAGGUUUCUGAGAACCAAAAGGGCUAAGGCGGUGGGGGUGGUUUCCAUGACGCCCAUGGGUGAUGGCCAGUGGUGAAAGGUGUGAGGAAGUGGGGGUGGGUGGAUGCCGU